Phoenix dactylifera (date palm) is the source of this 8262-nucleotide long non-coding RNA. RefSeq lists it as uncharacterized. The record is from RefSeq and is a predicted model, not a curated record. Lineage: Eukaryota; Viridiplantae; Streptophyta; Magnoliopsida; Arecales; Arecaceae.
UCGCUCCCCCCCACUCGCUCUCUCCCGGCUUUUAGAGUGGCCGGGGGCCACGGAGAGGACCCGAUCGGUUUUUGAAGGCGGUGAAGCAGCGGGCGGACGUGUACUACAAGGUCUUCGCCGCCCGGUACGGGCAGCAGAUCCUCCCCCAUCAAAGUGGUGGUUUCCCCUUUCAUCCUCGCCUACGACGCCGCUGCCUCCGCCCCCGCCGCUUUGGCAUACCCGAGCUUGCCUCUCGCCUCGCCUUCGCCGCCAUCUUCGCACGCUGCGUCUUUCUUUUCGUGAUCAGAAACGGGCCUUCCUUUUUUGAGUUCUUGAUCGGAGAUCCCGGUUCUUUUGAGUUCCUGAUCGAUCUUUUUUUUGUUGUUUUUAAUAAAAGUUCUGGAAAACCCUAGUUCUACAAUAUCUCUGAGAUCUUUGAUCAUAGAUAAUUGCGUUUUUGGAGUUCUUGUUCAGAAGCAAUUACGUUCUCUGAGUUCUUGAUUGGAGAUUGUGUUUAUCGGAGAUUUUCGUUCUUUUAAUCCUUGAAAAUUCCCGUUCUAUAAUAUCUUUGAGUUUUUGACAAGUAGUUACGUCGUUUGAGUUCUUGAACAGAAAUAUUUACGUUCGUUUGAGUUCUAGAAAAAUUUUGUUCUUUUAGUUCUUGAAAGCCUUAAUUAUAAUAUCUGUUAAUUCUUGAGCAGAAAUUACGGCAUUUUGACCAGGUGAUCCGAGAAAUCACUUUCUUUGAGAUCUUAACUGGAGAAUGCGUUUUUUUUUUUCCUGACGUCUUUAAAAAAACCUGAUUUUUGUAGUUUAUCUCCCAACAAAUACCCACACCACACGUAACGCACACAAACACACACAAACCUGAUUUUCUUCUAUGAGUUGGGUUGCAGGUUGUAGCAAUUCUUGGAACCUACCAAUAUUUCCUUGGAGUUUGGAAGGAAGGUGAUCUGCCAGAGAUAAUGCUUCGUUUGGCUUUCUGGUUGAUGUUCUUUCUUGUUUUCAGUAUUAUCUUUUUGUGUUCUUUCUGUCAUGAUUGUACUUGUGGUAUUUAGGAGCCAGUAUUUUCUUGAUCUCCUUGCAGCUUUAUGUAUGGCUUGUGGAUAUUCUAUGGAUAUUUGAUGCUUGUGGCAGCGUCCCUUUUUUAAUAUUCCAAUGUUUUUUUUUUAAAAAAAAAAUUAUAUCAAAAAGGGGACUUCGUACGCUGGAACACAAAAGGAAAUAAUUGACUGUAGGCGUUCAUUACUAGAGAGAAAGUUGUAUGAUUUUAUACUUCAGUUAUAUAGAAAAGUUUGAUAAGCUUAGCUUGGUUUUGAAGUUGCAGCAUAAGGUGCAUAUAAUUUGUUUUAAGUGUUAGGACAGAAUGGAUUUGGUAACUUAUGCUCGUGUGAUUGUUGCCUUUUUGACUAGCUUCAGAGUAAGAAAGCCUCAAUAUCAUUUGCUUCGUUAUAUAUUUAUAUAUUCAGAUGUAGCAAUAAAUUCUCUUAAAAUAAAGGAGAGUGAUAUGAAUAUGUGCCUCCCAAAUCUUAACAAAAUGCUCAGGGUUCAUCAAUGCUCAGCUUUUAACAAUUUUCUAUAUAUUUUUUAUUUAUGCAAAUAUUGAGUAAUUCAGAAUUAUUCAUGCAAUUGUCUUCCUCAAAUAACAUUACCGAGAAAGUUGCAUUCUACUAUCCACUGUAUAUUGAUAUUCUCAUGAUUCAUCAAGCCAUUUGGACUCCAACUUGGACUAAAAUUCCUAAUCUGAAAAUAUAAAUCAUGCAAACUUAAAUCGCCAUAAUGUAGUGUAUGCUUGCUCAUGCUUCGGUAGUCAGUUCCAAUGCCUUUUUAAGGUGCUGGAAGCAUAAUUCUUCCUUUUUUUGACCUUCACUGUAAUAGUAAUGAGCAACCAUCUCCAUUUGUAAUAAUAAAUCAGAACGGACUUAUGCUUAUAAAUAUAAAGUACAUUAUGUUGAUUUACAUAUGGAGUUGUCUUAUAAUUUCCUAGGAAUUCUCGAACAUGCAAUGGUUGGCAAGCAUUACGAUGCACCAUGUGCAAGGGUACAGGGAAGGUGCACCAUGUGCAAGGUUACAGGGAAGGUGCACUAUGUAGUGAAAAUUAUAGCCCAAAAAGGUAGAGUCAUGUCGAUAAUUGAAGUUUUCUUUUCUUGUCUUUUCUUUUUCCAGUAAUGUUAUGGAACUUUAUCUUAAAAAGAAAGAUAUUGUAUAAAAUUUCUGUAUCAAUUGCUAACAGUUGGGAAGUAACUGUUGUUUCAAAAACUUUUCCGUAUAUCAAUUUGAGGAACUACAGGCAAAUAUCCAAAUCUGUAGAUUUAAAUAAUUUCUGGUGAUGUUCUGCACCCAGUACAUAUUUUGUUCAUCUCAACACCUUAUCAACAUUAUUCCAUCAACUCUUCUAGUAUGACAUUAGUCAUCUGUCUUCAUGAACUACAAUUGCUUUAAAAACUGGAAAUUGAAGUAAAAGUUUUAGGCGGAGUGCUCUUAUAUGAAGGUGAUAUACAACAUGAAAAAGAUUACUACUGUCAAUAACUCAACCUUAGAGGUCUAUUUGUCGAGGAUGAGUCCACCCAGUGACCUCCCAGUGCACCAAGCCCAAGUCAUUAGACAACACUCUGUCUCUACUCUGUACUUGUUGACCAGAUCAUGAUAGCACUAUGCCUUUCUAUAGUUUCACUUCUUUGUCAAACCUCACAUGUUUCUUUCCUUGUAAAUGACUGCCAAUUAGAACAAAGAAAAAAGUUUUAUUCCAUUUUCUUCUUGUUAGUACCCACUCUUUUCCAGGGUAGGCUGGUCAUUGCAGAUUGUAGGUUUUCUUGUCUGGUACAAAAACAAUUUCCACUCCACAUCUAUUUUAUAGUUCUGUCUUGUAAAAGAUUUUGAAAUUUUUUAUCAAGUUCUCACCAGACAAUGUAUCUCGUUGAUUUUCAAAUUCUGUUUCAUUGGUCGCUUUGGACUAAAAUGUUAUGAUCUAGCAAUACUCUGGUUUUUUUUUUUGUAACUUGCAAUGGAAAUUCAGUUUUCCAUCCCCACAUUGGAGGCCGUUGAAGAUCCAAAACUAUCCUUGCCUUAUAGGUGCUCCUACACCAAUCCGUCACAUCCUUGCUCCUAUAAUGCAACUCAAAUGUAUAUGUCCCUCCCAGUCAUCUCGAGAAGUACUUAAGAUAGAAACUGCAAAUGGACAAAGCCAUACACUUAGCUCUCCAAAAUAUCAGCUUUUCUUCUAUUUACAAUCUCUGGCCAAUUCUAAGCUUCUCCUAGGCCUUCUGCUCAACUUAAUGUUGCCAGAUCACAGUCCUAGCAUAAUCUUCUUUCUGAAGUCUACCCAUAUUCACCUUUCUUCAUCAGCUUACGUCAUCGUUGCUUGUAUUUCCUAACCUUCAAAGCCACCUUUCAGUUAACUCAGUUUCAAUUCCUUAACUCUUCCAAUUCGCUCCUCCCUCGUUUGCUACAAUCUGCUUUGAAUUCUCAAAGUUGUGACUUCUAUUAUUCUCCAUACUACUCCUUGGUGGAAAAAUUCCUACUAGGAAUAGAGACAAGUAUUAAUUAAAUGUGGAAAGUCUCCUGCCAUUGUAAAGCAGUUCACUAUUAUGCUGACAGUCUUGUUAUCAAUCCUCUCCUAAUUGGGUUGAAAAAAUAUGAAAAAUAAACAAUUAAAUAAUCAUGAUAAGCAGUAGAAAUUCACCUUAAUCUGUGACAUGCAAAAAGCAUCUAGGAACUGUUGCAUAUUUAUAAGUAGACUGGAACAAGUUUUGAGGAUAACAUGUGAGAGAACUUAAUUUUUGGUGUUUUAAGUCAUUAGUGUGUCUGUAGGUGACAAUGGAGAUAGUAUCUUGAGAGAGAACUUGAAAGAGAACUUAAUUUUCUCAUAAACCUUUCGUCAGUUUUCUUAGAACGAAGCACCCAUAGUUGACCUUCAGGGCAAACAGACUUAUUUAUUACGAGAUAUUGUUAUUUCAUAUCUUCUUUCUUACAUAAUCCCUCAUGUUACUUAUUAUAGCCUGUAGGUUUGACUCCACUAUAGUUUGUGCAGUAGUGUAUGCUUCUUUUAUCCUUUAAAAUGGUAGCUGAGCAAAUCAGACACAAAGAACCUGAGAUUGGAUGGCCGUUCAGUAUAAAGGACAGCAGGAUCUUUGUUUUGUUCUGGUCUUGGACUGCUCCUAUAGAAUGUGUCUUUUUUUAUUAUGGUAUUAUCUGGUGAGACAAGUAUUUAGUGUGCUUUAUAUUAGACAAUAGCAUGCAUGUCAAUUUGUGUUUCAGGUAUCUAGGCGUCAUGGUUACCAUCUCAGCCAAGAUAUUGGUUUUUAACAGUACAGUAAGAUGUAUGUAGUAAAUCAUCUCUUGUUAUCUUGGAUAUGAACAGUUGUAUUUCCGCAUAUUAGCUGAUUAAAUGUUAAUAUUUCACCUGAGAUUUUCAAUCAGUUAAUUAUAUCUUGUUGUUUUUUUAAUAUUUAUACUUGAGAAACAUUAAUAUUAAAUUUAAAAUGAUUAUUUCCACUUCUACUAUAUCAGCUGAUAUUUCAAUAUCUUGAUUGUUAUAUAUCUCUCAAGAUAUUGAGUUUCUUAGUUUAUGUAAUCAAUGAUAAACCAAUAUCGAGGUUAUCUUGGUAUCUCUCACCCAUCGGGAUAGGUGAAAUAUUAGAGGUCCAGAUAUUGUUUGGCAGGAGCCUUUCCAUAUGGAAAAAGCAAUAUAGUUUGUAAUUUCACAUAGGAAGUUACUAUUCAUAGGACCAUUUUGAACAUGGAUCAUAGUGCUUUUACCCUGUUCCUCAUACCCUUGAUCAUAGCAUGGGGGAUCCGAAGAUUACGGCCUUCUGGUUAAUUACCAUACCUCAAGUUGGGAGAAUUCAACUUUAAUGAUCAUGUCAAGCAGAAACUUUGGUGGGCAUACAAGGUUGGUCUGUUACAUUCUUAAAUUAUCGGCAUGCACCUUAUUUUUUAUUUACUUUUAGAAAUUCUUUUUGAUUACUAGCCUUGUGCAUGUUACAUGAGGACCCAUAUUUGAACUUACAUAAACCAAAUUGGAGGUUAAUUCACAACUUGACAUAUGCAUAAAACGAAAAUUAGCUUGAUCUAGAUUUCAGUUACAAAUGAAAUCAUCAAAUCUUUUAAGAAACUUUACAUGAAACAUGGCAAAUGUGCAUAACCACCAAACUGAACAAGGUUAUCAAAUUCACAAAAGGCUAUCUUAUUCAGGAUCUCAUUUUGUUGCUCAUCAACCAAAAAUAAAUAAAUAAAGGAUACCAAAUCCAACAUUCUAUAUUACAUGAAACCCAGAACUCCUGGGCUCAAAUCUAGCUCCAUGAUAAUGAGGCCUGCUAAGUAAAGCAGGGUCUAAACUCACAAUUAGCCAAAUUCACUCUGCCUUUUGUAACAUUACAUAGUUUUUAUUCAUAACAUUAUGGUACACUUAUAUCUUUCUAAAAUAUUUGAACGGCCUCAUGAUUAUUUGAAUAUUCUAUGCAAACUGUAAGCAUGAUUUUGAAACCUUUUUUUAUUCGAACAUCAUAGAACAUCAAUACAAGGGGUAAAAGUUGUGUACUGUUUUCUUUCUGUCCUGUAACUAUGUUCUGUUUUCCACCUGGUGAUAUAUUAUGCACCCACAUAUGGAAUUUUUUUUACUAUUUCGCAUCUUAGAGUUUCUAAUCAGUUUAUGUGUUCAUAUUGAUUUGUGACGUCUUGUAUAUGAGUUUCUAAUGGUUGCUAUGUGACAACCUGGUUGGGAGCACCUGCAGGAUGUGAGUAUCAACCUGUUUUCGAGAAUUUUAUGUACUCUUUCAGAAAUAUGAAGUGCAAACCUCGUCUAAUGAUACCAAAUGUAUAUGUUUUCAAGAAACUGUAUCAUCUUUCCUCUCUUCUUGUCUUCGAGGUAGUUGCAGUAUCAAACCAUAAAAUAUAGUCCAUUAAUGCCCCUACUGAUAUUGGUGAGUGUAUUAGCUGACUAGAACAUUGAUAGUUCAUAUUGGUGCUUGAUAAAAGCUUUUGCGACUAAUAUAUGCUUUAAAUCAAAUAUGCGGUUAACGUUCAUCCAUAAGCUCUAGGGACGGAUUUUUUGCAUAUUAUUUGGUCUAUCUAUACAACUUCCUUUCCUAUGAUUUUUUUCAAAGAAGAUACACAACUAUAAUCAUAACCAUCCAUUCUUUUCCAAAGAGAUACAUGAUGAACUAUAUAUCAGCUAAUUUCCCAUGUAUUUUUCUUAUAGGAUAUUCUUUUAAAGAGAAUUUUUGAAGAUAGGAAUAAAUGUAGCUUAUUCAAGGAAAGUGCAAAAAGUAACAGAGAAUAAGAAAAUCAAAUGUAGGAAUGUACUCUGGAUUAAGUUGAUAAAAAGGAAAUAUAUCUUUGCUGCAGUAAUAUACAGCGCUGAAGGAGGACACGAGCAACUGAACUCAUUUAUAUUUGAUUAAAUUUGUCAUUGUUAGUCUGAAAUGAUCUGACCACAAUGAUCCAGUGUAUUGAAGAGAUUACUUUAAGUUAUCAUGGUCCUACAUCUGUCCAAGUUAUCAUUUAAUAACUGAAUUAUUUAGAAGUAAAAAUAAACAAAUGCAUUUUAAACAAUCUAAGGACUAGUGAGGUGUCUAAUACAAUCACCAUAUAGAGGAUUGAUGAAAAUGUGCUUCACAAGUGUCAAUGAGAUGUUUAACCACCCCCCUCCCCCCACCCCAACAGACACAAAUAAAAAACGAAACACAUCCUCGCAAAAAAUCUUUUUUCCUCGCGCUCUUCUUUCCUAUCAAGUUAGAUUCAAAAUUUCAGUAAGAAAAAGUUUCGUACUUAUAUACAUAUAUAUUUUAGUUCAAACGAGAUUUGUUGGAGUUAUUAGAAUUUAAAACUUUUAAUAAGUGGGAUUUAGGAAGUAAGAGAUGUGAUCCGUGAUAGUGGAUGAUAAGGCUUUGAUUUAGGAAUUUAACCUAACUUUUUGCAUGGGCUGUCAGACUGAAUAAUAUUUUUGUGAUUAAGAGGGAGAUCUACAUUUUGGAAUGGUAAAACUUUGAUUUUUUUUUUUUGUGCUUCUGGUGGUAUAUGCGGGAAGAAACCAAACUAGAAGGUACAAACAAGAUCCAUAAUGUAUAACCCUGCAGACCGUCAAGUUCUUUCACCCAAAAGCUUAAGUUAGAGGCCCUUGAAUUUUUAUAUUUCAUUGAAUAUGAUAUUUUCUUUGCUUCUAAUUGAUCCACCAGUUUUAAAGACGAGAGAUCCAGAUGAUAUGCCUCAUAUUUAACAUGUUUCAUGACAGUAAUAAAAUUGAGCUGUCUGUUAGUCCUGUCUCAGAUGCUCACCAAUAUUCCACCACACCCAAGUAACUAAUCCAAUAAAGUAUGUUACAUUCUUUUUUUCCUUAUAAAUUUUUUCAUAAAUCUUCCAACCCUCAUUCUGUAAAAUAAUUCUGCGACCGUUGACCACUUAGAGUGGAAUUUUCAGAAAAGUUUUUGGCUCUAAAACACUAUGUGGAAUUAGGAAUAUAGUCAGAUCUGCUACAUGAUUUGGUCACCAACAUAUCCUGUUGGUACUAUAUCUGCUUGUGUAUAUGUGUGUGUUUUUUGUGUAAAUUUCAAAUUUGUUAUAUGCUUCGCAACUGUAUGUUGUGUUGUUGCCUUUUCCGCAAUGAAAUGAAACUGCUUCCAUUUAUUCUGCAUUGCUCUUGUUAGGAGGUCAUAAAGGAAGUAAUGAAACAUGUACCCAAGUAAUUUUCAUUGUUUCCCAGGAGUACAGCACAUGUGGAGCUAAUUUAAAAUCUUCCAGAAAGCUUCAUAGCAAGGAUGCAGGUAGGGGUAGGCUAAAGUGUUAACCUUCCUUCUAGAGACCCAUAUCCUACUGGGAAACACUGCAAAGAAUUUUUGAUGGUAGAAGGUAUGCUCUAGGAACGAGGAGCAAUCGGAAUAGCUUGAGAUUUGUCAUUCCUGUUCAUGUCAGAAACUGGAAGUUGGACAGCUACUAUCAACUUAUAUGUCAAAUCUGCAUGAGGCCAGUUGCUUGCUAGUAGAGUUCUAAUUGCUCUAUCAGUAGAGUAAGGAAAUCUGUUUCCUGAAGAUGACCCCGUGGUGAAGAUGGUGGUUAUUCUAAAGAAGAGUCUAAGGUAGUCAUAUGAGCAAACUGUUUCCUUUAGGCCUUACUGUUGUAUUGUCUCAUCAUUCACAUGCCCUGUAAUUCUGAGGCGGGAAAUGCUCCUUUUAUUUUUGUUUUUUUUCCUUCCUUUCUUUUUUUGGGCCAUUGAUAUGUCAAGAUACUGGAUUGUACCUAUAUCAUGCAGGCAAUUGAAAAUUUAGGGCCCUUCUGGUAUUGCUUUUA